CCACAACAAUGGCCACCGCCAAUGUCCCAGUCCCUGGAGAGGUCUCACCCCUCACCGAGAUGCACUCAGGGCCUAUUAGCCAGAAAGUAAACUUUGGGAGCCAUGAUAAUUACAUUCCAGUCAGUGAAGUAAACAGAAAAUCAUGGAAUCAGCAAUACUUUGCCUUGGCAUUUCCCAAACCGCCACGGCCAGGAAGAAAACGGAGAUCAAUGCCUUCCCUAUUAAGAGAUAAGAGAAUUCCUGAAUAUAAUCAAGAUAAAUCAAGGGGAGGCCGCAGACAACCGUUAUGGAUGUACCGUUCUUUAAUGACAAUUUCUGAAGGACCAUCUGCUUAUUUAGCUGCCAGGACACAGCCUCCAUCUAAAUCAACUCGUCGCCCCAGGGAAGAUGCUGGUGUACAGAAGCCCUUAGGUAAGAAAGAUAGAGAAGACAAGAAGGCAGAAAACAAGAAAAAGUCAGAUUCAGAAACAGAACCCACAGCUUUACAGGAGUUAAGAAAAGAUGCAAAGAAAGACAAGGAUAUAGAAAUAGGCACUAAAGGCGAAAAAGACAUUACAAAAACAGAUGCCAAAAAAGACAAGAAAGAUGCAAAGAAGGGCAAGGAGCCAGCUACAGAAUCUGAAAAUGAGACAAAGGAUGCAAAGAAAGAUGCCAAAAAAGAUAAGAAAGGUUCAAAGAAGGGCAAAGAGUCAGCUACCGAAUCUGAAGAUGAGAAAAAAGAUGCAAAGAAAGAUUCCAAAAAAGAUAAGAAAGGUUCAAAGAAGGGCAAAGAGUCAGCUAACGAAUCCGAAGAUGAGAAAAAGGGUGUAAAGAAAGGUUCCAAAAAAGAUAAGAAAGAUGCAAAGAAGGGCAAGGAGUCAGCUACAGAAUCUGAAGGUGAAAAAACGGAUGCAAAGAAGGAUAAGGCCGAGAAAAAAGACACAAAGAAACCCAAUGAGAAGGGUGAUGAAUCAAAGGACAAGAAAGAUGCAAAGGGGAAGGGGAGUAAAAAAGAAAAGAAAGAUGAAAAGAAGCCCGGUAAGACAGAUAGCAAAUCAAAGGACGAGGCCAAGAAAGAUGCCAAAAAGGAUACUGACACAGAAUCUGCUGAUGCAAAGGAUUCAAAGAAAGAUGCAAAGAAGGAUGCAAAGAAGGAUGCAAAGAAGGGCAAGUAGCCCUUGGAUAAUAAUUCAAAAGCAUAGUUGAUAAAACAAUUUUAGUAGUCUGCAACUGAAUCUAUGAGAGUAAAGGGGAGUUCAAUGAAUUAAUCAAAUAUUUUUUUAAAUGGAGUAAAGAAGAAUACAAAGAAAGACUCAGAGAAGCUUCAUUAAAAAUGUAACAUGUUAAUAAAAAUUAAGAGAUAAUUCAUUGAAGGACUUGAAGGAUACUUAUGCUAAAUUUGGGGAUAUAAAGGAUUCAGUGAAAAAUCCCUAGAACGAGUCAAAGAAGAAUAUUCAAAUAAGGAUGUAAAAGUUAAUGACGCUGAAUCUGCAGAUCCAAAAAAAUAAAUCAACAAAGUCUUCAAAAAAAUCCAAGUAGGCGUAUGUUGAAUCCAUAGAUUCUAAUGAUCUGAAGCUGCAUCCAGAGAUUUAAAUAAAGAAAUAUAGGAGCCAUGUGAGGAAGUUAAACGAAUUUCAGAAAGUUCACUUUCAAAUAAAUAUGAAUACAAAUUAAAAGUAGCAUUCCUGGAAAAAAAAAAGAAAAUAUUAUUACUUCCAUGUGAGCCUAUACCACCCUCUCUGAAGUGUAAACAGCCACAACCAGGUGGAUGGAUGUCGAAUGUUCCACUUGCACACUCAGCUAAAUACAACUGAAAAUAGUGAACAACUUCUCUCUGUUUAAAGAAGGAUGAAAAUCAAAAUUUUCCAAAUUACAAAUGUGAGUAAAUUUAAAUGAGGCAUAUUAAAGAGAUUCCUGAUAAAUUGCUAAAUGUGUAUACAAAACCAAAUUAAUCAGAAUUCAACAGU
This is an RNA transcript of Diceros bicornis minor, 1946 nucleotides long. It is a transcript of the gene named cylicin-2-like, with no coding region annotated. The record is from RefSeq and is a predicted model, not a curated record. NCBI's taxonomy places the organism in Eukaryota, Metazoa, Chordata, Mammalia, Perissodactyla, Rhinocerotidae. The transcript has 5 exons.